RNAcentral lists this ribosomal RNA (943 nucleotides) under Diploscapteroides persicus. Its description in RNAcentral is "SSU rRNA". It matches the Rfam family "Eukaryotic small subunit ribosomal RNA", at positions 601 to 1588 of the family's 1831-position model. Lineage: Eukaryota; Metazoa; Nematoda; Chromadorea; Rhabditida; Rhabditidae. The record is from RNAcentral.
AAAUCGUCAUUGCUGCGGUUAAAAAGCUCGUAGUUGUAUCUGAGGCACGUAUGUUGGUUCGGCAACGCCGUUAAUCAAUGUCGUGUCUAUUUUGUCGGUUUUCUAAUAGGUACAUCGGUUCUAUUAGUGGCUGGCAAUUUUACUUUGAUCAAAUCAGAACGCUCAACGUAUGCGUUUUGCUUGAAUGACUUAUCAUGGAAUAAUAAAAUAGGAUUUAGGUUCUAUUUGUUGGUUCUAGAAUUUAAUUAAUGAUUAAGAGGGAUGAUUCGGGGGCAUUCGUAUCCCUACGCGAGAGGUGAAAUUCGUAGACCGUAGGGGGACGUCCAAAAGCGAAAGCAAUUGCCAAGAACGUCUCUAUUAAUCAAGAACGAAAGUCAGAGGUUCGAAGGCGAUUAGAUACCGCCCUAGUUCUGACCGUAAACUAUACCAUCUAGCGAUCCGAUGGGGUUUCUAAUGCCUCGUCGGGGAGCCCCCCGGAAACGAAAGUCUUUCGGUUCCGGGGGUAGUAUGGUUGCAAAGCUGAAACUUAAAGAAAUUGACGGAAGGGCACCACCAGGAGUGGAGCCUGCGGCUUAAUUUGACUCAACACGGGAAAACUCACCCGGCCCGGACACCGUAAGGAUUGACAGAUUGAUAGCUCUUUCUCGAUUUGGUGGUUGGUGGUGCAUGGCCGUUCUUAGUUGGUGGAGCGAUUUGUCUGGUUUAUUCCGAUAACGAGCGAGACUCUAACCUGCUAAAUAGUUAUAUUGUAAGCAGGCAAUAAUAACUUCUUAGAGGAAUAAGCGGUGUUUAACCGCACGAGAUUGAGCGAUAACAGGUCUGUGAUGCCCUUAGAUGUCCGGGGCUGCACGCGCGCUACACUGGGAGAAUCAGUUGGUUUUUCAUUGCCGAGAGGUACUGGUAAACCGAUGAAACUCUUCCGUGUCUGGGAUUGGGAAUUGUA